RNAcentral lists this long non-coding RNA (691 nucleotides) under Ananas comosus (pineapple). RNAcentral's name for it is "long non-coding RNA (ACOM_LNC020591)". The record is from RNAcentral. Lineage: Eukaryota; Viridiplantae; Streptophyta; Magnoliopsida; Poales; Bromeliaceae.
UGGAAUAGUCUUUUAUUUCGCAAGUUGGAACAAAUAUCGCAUAGGAAUCUAAUUGUAAUUAAAAUCUAACUAACUUUGUGAUAAAAAUAAAAACAAACAAACAUACAGAUAAACGCAAAUAAAUCAACUCACAGAUAAUCGCUAAAUCCCAAAAUUGUGAAAAAAGAAUAUCAACAUAUUAAUCCGGAAGCGUGCGAGGCACUGCCCUAAGGUGUAUUCCCGUCCUUACGUGCGGGAUUAACCGGAAAUAACACCCCAAGGUACGACCGGAAUUCCUCAUUCUGCGAGCACGAUCGUGAAGGAGGUUGACGAAGAUUCUCAACACCCAGUGGAUAAGGGGAAUGUUCAAAAAAUGAAAGAUAAAAGAAUAAAAGGAUAGAGAUUAACCAAUGAUCAAAAAUCUUUUCUACCUGCUCUGUUUUUUCCAGAGGAGGAAAAGAGAAAGGGGAUUUAACGCUUUUUCUCUUACGAGAGAGAAGCGGAACCCGCCCAACGUAAUGCGAAAAAAACGGAACGGAAAAUAUUCCGUUAGUUUCUUUCUCAUUAAGAAAGAUAAUAAAAUAAUUAAAUAAAAUAAAAUAAAUAAAGUAGUAAAUAAAUAAAAUAAUAAAUAAUAAAUAAUAAAUAAUAAAACAUCAAAGUGCAAAUAAAAUAAAUUCAAACUCAAAAUUUUGAGUUUUCACCAACAUAA